GUUGUUGGGUAGGGGAGCGUUCUGUAAGCCGUUGAAGGUGUGCUGUGAGGCAUGCUGGAGGUAUCAGAAGUGCGAAUGCUGACAUAAGUAACGAUAAAGCGGGUGAAAAGCCCGCUCGCCGGAAGACCAAGGGUUCCUGUCCAACGUUAAUCGGGGCAGGGUGAGUCGACCCCUAAGGCGAGGCCGAAAGGCGUAGUCGAUGGGAAACAGGUUAAUAUUCCUGUACUUGGUGUUACUGCGAAGGGGGGACGGAGAAGGCUAUGUCAGCCGGGCGACGGUUGUCCCGGUUUAAGCAUGUAGGCGGAGGUUCCAGGUAAAUCCGGUACCUUAUUAACGCUGAGGUGUGAUGACGAGGCACUACGGUGCUGAAGUGAUAAAUGCCCUGCUUCCAGGAAAAGCCUCUAAGCAUCAGGUAACACGAAAUCGUACCCCAAACCGACACAGGUGGUCAGGUAGAGAAUACCAAGGCGCUUGAGAGAACUCGGGUGAAGGAACUAGGCAAAAUGGUGCCGUAACUUCGGGAGAAGGCACGCUGAUAGGUAGGUGAAGUCCCUGCGGACGGAGCUGAAAUCAGUCGAAGAUACCAGCUGGCUGCAACUGUUUAUUAAAAACACAGCACUGUGCAAACACGAAAGUGGACGUAUACGGUGUGACGCCUGCCCGGUGCCGGAAGGUUAAUUGAUGGGGUUAGCGGCAACGCGAAGCUCUUGAUCGAAGCCCCGGUAAACGGCGGCCGUAACUAUAACGGUCCUAAGGUAGCGAAAUUCCUUGUCGGGUAAGUUCCGACCUGCACGAAUGGCGUAAUGAUGGCCAGGCUGUCUCCACCCGAGACUCAGUGAAAUUGAACUCGCUGUGAAGAUGCAGUGUACCCGCGGCAAGACGGAAAGACCCCGUGAACCUUUACUAUAGCUUGACACUGAACACUGGUCCUUGAUGUGUAGGAUAGGUGGGAGGCUUUGAAGCGUGGACGCCAGUCUGCGUGGAGCCAACCUUGAAAUACCACCCUUUAAUGGCUGGUGUUCUAACGUAGACCCGUAAUCCGGGUUGCGGACAGUGUCUGGUGGGUAGUUUGACUGGGGCGGUCUCCUCCCAAAGAGUAACGGAGGAGCACGAAGGUUGGCUAAUCCUGGUCGGACAUCAGGAGGUUAGUGCAAUGGCAUAAGCCAGCUUGACUGCGAGCGUGACGGCGCGAGCAGGUGCGAAAGCAGGUCAUAGUGAUCCGGUGGUUCUGAAUGGAAGGGCCAUCGCUCAACGGAUAAAAGGUACUCCGGGGAUAACAGGCUGAUACCGCCCAAGAGUUCAUAUCGACGGCGGUGUUUGGCACCUCGAUGUCGGCUCAUCACAUCCUGGGGCUGAAGUAGGUCCCAAGGGUAUGGCUGUUCGCCAUUUAAAGUGGUACGCGAGCUGGGUUUAGAACGUCGUGAGACAGUUCGGUCCCUAUCUGCCGUGGGCGCUGGAGAAUUGAGGGGGGCUGCUCCUAGUACGAGAGGACCGGAGUGGACGCAUCACUGGUGUUCGGGUUGUCAUGCCAAUGGCACUGCCCGGUAGCUAAAUGCGGAAAAGAUAAGUGCUGAAAGCAUCUAAGCACGAAACUUGCCCCGAGAUGAGUUCUCCCUGAGACUUUAAGUCUCCUGAAGGAACGUUGAAGACUACGACGUUGAUAGGUCGGGUGUGUAAGCGCAGCGAUGCGUUGAGCUAACCGAUACUAAUGAACCGUGAGGCUUAACCUU
This 1730-nucleotide ribosomal RNA is filed under the name Enterobacter hormaechei. Its description in RNAcentral is "23S ribosomal RNA". It matches the Rfam family "Bacterial large subunit ribosomal RNA", at positions 1220 to 2925 of the family's 2925-position model. Lineage: Bacteria; Pseudomonadati; Pseudomonadota; Gammaproteobacteria; Enterobacterales; Enterobacteriaceae. The record is from RNAcentral.